This 492-nucleotide ribosomal RNA is filed under the name uncultured bacterium. Its description in RNAcentral is "partial 16S ribosomal RNA". It matches the Rfam family "Bacterial small subunit ribosomal RNA", at positions 29 to 507 of the family's 1533-position model. The record is from RNAcentral.
AGUGAACGCUGGCGGUAGGCCUAACACAUGCAAGUCGAACGGCAGCACAGUAAGAGCUUGCUCUUACGGGUGGCGAGUGGCGGACGGGUGAGGAAUACAUCGGAAUCUACUUUUUCGUGGGGGAUAACGUAGGGAAACUUACGCUAAUACCGCAUACGACCUACGGGUGAAAGCAGGGGAUCUUCGGACCUUGCGCGAUUGAAUGAGCCGAUGUCGGAUUAGCUAGUUGGCGGGGUAAAGGCCCACCAAGGCGACGAUCCGUAGCUGGUCUGAGAGGAUGAUCAGCCACACUGGAACUGAGACACGGUCCAGACUCCUACGGGAGGCAGCAGUAGGGAAUAUUGGACAAUGGGCGCAAGCCUGAUCCAGCCAUACCGCGUGAGUGAAGAAGGCCUUCGGGUUGUAAAGCCCUUUUAUUAGGAAAGAAAAACAGCGGGUUAAUACCCCGCUGUUCUGACGGUACCCAAAGAGUAAGCACCGGCUAACUUCGUG